Molecule: ribosomal RNA, 253 nt
Filed under: uncultured bacterium
Lineage: Bacteria
Description: partial 16S ribosomal RNA
Rfam family: Bacterial small subunit ribosomal RNA
Source: RNAcentral
UACGAAGGGGGCUAGCGUUGCUCGGAAUCACUGGGCGUAAAGGGUGCGUAGGCGGGUCUUUAAGUCAGGGGUGAAAUCCUGGAGCUCAACUCCAGAACUGCCUUUGAUACUGAAGAUCUUGAGUUCGGGAGAGGUGAGUGGAACUGCGAGUGUAGAGGUGAAAUUCGUAGAUAUUCGCAAGAACACCAGUGGCGAAGGCGGCUCACUGGCCCGAUACUGACACUGAGGCGCGAAAGCGUGGGGAGCGAACAGG